Non-coding RNA from Danio rerio (zebrafish), 411 nucleotides. The record is from the annotation of a RefSeq genome assembly. NCBI's taxonomy places the organism in Eukaryota, Metazoa, Chordata, Actinopteri, Cypriniformes, Danionidae.
AUGAUAAAAUGGGUGAUUUUUGCUCUUUUCUUCACAUCACAUGAUUUUGUAUGUGGGGAACAAGACAGUGUUGAUCAGCCGGACAGAGAACUGACUUCUGCUGAAGGAAAUGAAGUGAUUUUAUUGUGUAAUUAUAAACUGAUGAGCGCUGCUAAUGCAUAUCUCUACUGGUACAAACAACUACCAGACACAUCACCAGCAUUCAUUCUGAGUGAGUUUUCCAUCGGGAAAGGAAAAGCAGAGCCUGAAUUUAAGGACAGAUUCUCAGCAAAGUUGGACUCCAAAUUAGAAACAGUUCCUCUGACAAUCAAGGAUGUGCGUGUGUCAGACUCUGCUGUGUAUUACUGUGCUCUGCAGCCCACAGUGACUCAAACACACUUAACACUCACACAAAAACACUGUAAGCAGUAA